RNAcentral lists this ribosomal RNA (1028 nucleotides) under Salmonella enterica. RNAcentral's name for it is "bacterial LSU rRNA". It matches the Rfam family "Bacterial large subunit ribosomal RNA", at positions 161 to 1230 of the family's 2925-position model. The record is from RNAcentral. Lineage: Bacteria; Pseudomonadati; Pseudomonadota; Gammaproteobacteria; Enterobacterales; Enterobacteriaceae. RNAcentral also lists the same sequence under 3 other names.
AAUCCAUAGGUUAAUGAGGCGAACCGGGGGAACUGAAACAUCUAAGUACCCCGAGGAAAAGAAAUCAACCGAGAUUCCCCCAGUAGCGGCGAGCGAACGGGGAGGAGCCCAGAGCCUGAAUCAGCAUGUGUGUUAGUGGAAGCGUCUGGAAAGGCGCGCGAUACAGGGUGACAGCCCCGUACACAAAAGCGCAUGUGCUGUGAGCUCGAUGAGUAGGGCGGGACACGUGGUAUCCUGUCUGAAUAUGGGGGGACCAUCCUCCAAGGCUAAAUACUCCUGACUGACCGAUAGUGAACCAGUACCGUGAGGGAAAGGCGAAAAGAACCCCGGCGAGGGGAGUGAAAAAGAACCUGAAACCGUGUACGUACAAGCAGUGGGAGCACCCUUUGGGUGUGACUGCGUACCUUUUGUAUAAUGGGUCAGCGACUUAUAUUCUGUAGCAAGGUUAACCGAAUAGGGGAGCCGGAGGGAAACCGAGUCUUAACCGGGCGUUAAGUUGCAGGGUAUAGACCCGAAACCCGGUGAUCUAGCCAUGGGCAGGUUGAAGGUUGGGUAACACUAACUGGAGGACCGAACCGACUAAUGUUGAAAAAUUAGCGGAUGACCUGUGGCUGGGGGUGAAAGGCCAAUCAAACCGGGAGAUAGCUGGUUCUCCCCGAAAGCUAUUUAGGUAGCGCCUCGUGAAUUCAUCUCCGGGGGUAGAGCACUGUUUCGGCUAGGGGGCCAUCCCGGCUUACCAACCCGAUGCAAACUGCGAAUACCGGAGAAUGUUAUCACGGGAGACACACGGCGGGUGCUAACGUCCGUCGUGAAGAGGGAAACAACCCAGACCGCCAGCUAAGGUCCCAAAGUCAUGGUUAAGUGGGAAACGAUGUGGGAAGGCCCAGACAGCCAGGAUGUUGGCUUAGAAGCAGCCAUCAUUUAAAGAAAGCGUAAUAGCUCACUGGUCGAGUCGGCCUGCGCGGAAGAUGUAACGGGGCUAAACCAUGCACCGAAGCUGCGGCAGCGACACUGUGUGUUGUUGGGUA